UAUUUUUUAUCGCUAUCAGCGCGGUCAUACUGGUAACGUAUUGGUUACCAUCGUAAAUUAUUUGGCAAUCCGACUACUUGCUGGCAGCCAAAUAACUGCAGAAUGUUUGAGCAGCUGGCCUGAGAGCUAGUGCCGGCUGCCCGAGCCCAAUUCCCCCGGAAACCCACUCCGUUGGACGUCCAGCACAGAACACUCUGAAGCUCCAAACGCACCGCACGCACAUCUGGCAACCGACUGUAAACAAACUCGGGAUAUGAGCCGCGCCGGUUGUUGAACUCUUGACACUUGACUGGGAAUAGAUUAUCGCCCGCGGGUUCAAUAGGAAUCGCUGAAUCUUUCGAGUCAGCAGCACUGGGCAUUCAAUCCGAGAAAGCAAACGAAACGCGCCACAUGUACACCUAUAAGAUGGGUCGGGUUCCAGAGCUGGUUAUAUGCUCUUUCAUCGUGGUCAGCCUGCUGGUCAUACACUUCUUC
Molecule: small RNA, 474 nt
Filed under: Drosophila yakuba
Lineage: Eukaryota; Metazoa; Arthropoda; Insecta; Diptera; Drosophilidae
Description: GE27501
Source: RNAcentral